The submitters of this non-coding RNA (83 nucleotides) gave its source as unclassified sequences. The record is from Rfam.
AAAAUCAGAGGAUAGAAAGAGGCAGCUAUCACGCCAGAAAUGGUCUUAAAAGAGAUGCAGGGAACGCCGUCCUGCCUGAUUUA